GAUGAACGCUGGCGGCGUGCUUAACACAUGCAAGUCGAACGAACCAUCUGCGACCGUUUUUUUCGGAAUGAAGUUGCUUAUGACUGAGUGGCGGACGGGUGAGUAACGCGUGGGUAACCUGCCACUUACUGGGGGAUAGCAGCUUGAAACGGCUUGUAAUACCGCAUAAGCGCACAAUGUUGCAUGCCAUGGUGUUGAAAACUCGGGUGGGAUAAGAUGCACCCGCGUCUGUUUGGCUAGUUGGGGAGAUAACAGCCCACCAAGGCGACGAUCAGUAGCCGAGCAGAGAGGGUGACCGGACACACUGAGACUGAGACGCAGCCGAGACUCCUACGGGAGGCAGGAGUGGGGAAUAUUGCACAAUGGAGGAAGCUAUGAUGGACCGCCGACGCGUGAGUGAAGAAGUAAGUCGUGAUGUAAAGCUCUAUUAGCAGGGAAGAUAGUGACGGUACCUGACUAAGAAGCCCCGGCUAAAUACGUG
This 481-nucleotide ribosomal RNA is filed under the name uncultured bacterium. Its description in RNAcentral is "partial 16S ribosomal RNA". It matches the Rfam family "Bacterial small subunit ribosomal RNA", at positions 28 to 507 of the family's 1533-position model. The record is from RNAcentral.